CGUGCAAAGGUAGCGUAAUACUUGUCCUCUAAAUAGGGACCAGCAUGAAUGGCAACAUGAGAAAACCCCUGUCUCUUCAAGCUAGUCAGUGAAACUGACUGCCUGUUAAAAAGCAGGCAUACAAAAAUAAGACAAAAAGACCCUGUGAAACUUCAAAUGCCCUUCAACCGUAUGCAGGGUAUUUUUCGGUUGGGGCAACCAAUGAGAAACAAACCUCAUAAAAUCAUAAGGCCCACAAGCCAAACAACACCUACGAUCCAGUACCACUGAUCAAAGAACAAAGCUACUCCAGGGAUAACAGCGCCACAUUCUUAAAGGUCCAUAUCAACAAGAAUACCUACGACCUCGAUGUUGGAUCAGGGUACCCAAAUGGCGCAGAAGCUAUUAAAGGUUCGUUGUUCAACGAUUAAAACCCUACGUGAUCUGAGUUCAGAC
This 435-nucleotide ribosomal RNA is filed under the name Draco maculatus. RNAcentral describes it as "partial large subunit ribosomal RNA". It matches the Rfam family "Bacterial large subunit ribosomal RNA", at positions 1947 to 2616 of the family's 2925-position model. Lineage: Eukaryota; Metazoa; Chordata; Lepidosauria; Squamata; Agamidae. The record is from RNAcentral.